AAAUGUUCGAAGCGCUGGAAUUGAAAUAGUUCGACGUUUUACAGAGGAGGAUGGAGGCUCCAAUCUUCAUAUAGCCAUCAUGAUUCGGGUUUUCCGUGGUUUCUCUAAUUUAUUUCAAGUGGUUACUACUGUAAGGCCACAGCCAACUACCUGUUGCAUCCUUGCCAUACUGUACUGCCCAGCAACAGCCACACACUCACUGACACUCCUGCCUACCUUGUUGAGGGUGCUGACGAGCUUGCGGAUGAUAUUGCAGUCCUGCGGGUUCUCCAAACUGUGCAGCUGCCUGUGGGCAAGGUCGCUCAGCUGGGUGGCCUCAUGUUCCCACCACACCUCGUAGUUGCCCACUCCAGCCUGGUCAUCAAUGUCUGACUGUAAGGACCUGUCCUAGAGAGACAGUUAGUUUAAAUGUCAAUUAACAGUUCACCAAAUGAUCUGAGCUGGAGAAUAUGGAAAAAAUUAAUGGUGUACAAAAAACACACAUAAGGAACAGGAGGUAUCAAAGUAGUUUUGGAAUAUGUACAAAUAGCUGCUACAUGAAUCUGGUCACUGUCCUACCUGUUACAAACUAAGAUAUCAUUAUUGGGCCUCAAAACAUCAACCUCAGCUACACACGAUAAGUCAUAAAUGAGGAAAAAUACAAGAUGAAGCAGCUAAAACCCACCAUACAAAACAUACACGAAAGUAGAAAAUAUACCAAGAUAUGGUUUUCACUAAGUUAUAGCAAAUGGUGUGGUGAAUUUUCUGACAUACAAAAGAAAUUUUUAAUGUUUAUUACUGCCAAAUUAUGACACUAACUUAGUUAUUUUUAAAUGGAUCUAUAUAUCUUUUUCUGUGGCUUCAAAGGGUAUUUCAAACCCAUAGUGUGUGGAACUUAGUAGCAAGAUAACAGCAUCUGCCGUACUGUUCCAAAAGUAAGUAAUCUCUUAACUUGGUUAUGGUUCGAGUGUAUAUCAUUAUGAAAGUCAUAUCAGGUGCACAAAAUGUUGCUCAAUUUCUUCUGGAUCUGUUAAGAAGUGUAGUUAUCUGGAUGAAACAGGAAGUAAUGUUGGUACCACACAUGGAUUGCCUUAUCUCAGUUGUGAUGUUUCCUAGUAACUUCUGUUGGGGACUACAUAGCCAGAUAGAUUUAAAAUUCCUAUCAGUAAAACAGGGACCAAUGAUAUGAUUCCUAUAAAGUUUGCACAGCAUACUGGGUGACCAAGGUAACUGCUUAUCCAUUUCUUUCAACCAGUGCGGAUUUUCAAGUAGACAGAUAGUGCAUAUUGUGAAAAUCUAUUUGCUCAUGUUUUGUAAAUGAUGCUUCAUCCAUAAAGAAAAUCUUACACAGAAACACUGCAUUCAUAGAUUC
Long non-coding RNA from Schistocerca piceifrons (Central American locust), 1351 nucleotides. RefSeq lists it as uncharacterized. The record is from RefSeq and is a predicted model, not a curated record. The transcript has 3 exons. Lineage: Eukaryota; Metazoa; Arthropoda; Insecta; Orthoptera; Acrididae.